RNAcentral lists this ribosomal RNA (168 nucleotides) under Solanum torvum (turkey berry). RNAcentral's name for it is "5.8S ribosomal RNA". It matches the Rfam family "5.8S ribosomal RNA". From Rfam's summary of the family: 5.8S ribosomal RNA (5.8S rRNA) is a component of the large subunit of the eukaryotic ribosome. It is transcribed by RNA polymerase I as part of the 45S precursor that also contains 18S and 28S rRNA. Lineage: Eukaryota; Viridiplantae; Streptophyta; Magnoliopsida; Solanales; Solanaceae. The record is from RNAcentral.
ACCAAAAUGACUCUCGGCAAUGGAUAUCUCAACUCGCUUCGAUGAAGAACGUAAAGAAAUGCGAUACUUGGUGUGAAUUGCAGAAUCCCGUGAACCAUCGAGUCUUUGAACCCAAGUUGCGCCCAAAGCCGUCAGGCCAAGGGCACGUCUGCCUAGGCAUCACGCAUC